Molecule: ribosomal RNA, 450 nt
Filed under: uncultured bacterium
Lineage: Bacteria
Description: partial 16S ribosomal RNA
Rfam family: Bacterial small subunit ribosomal RNA
Source: RNAcentral
GUGGGGAAUUUUGGACAAUGGGCGCAAGCCUGAUCCAGCAAUGCCGCGUGCAGGAAGAAGGCCUUCGGGUUGUAAACUGCUUUUGUACGGAACGAAACAGUCCUGGCUAAUACCUGGGGCUAAUGACGGUACCGUAAGAAUAAGCACCGGCUAACUACGUGCCAGCAGCCGCGGUAAUACGUAGGGUGCGAGCGUUAAUCGGAAUUACUGGGCGUAAAGCGUGCGCAGGCGGUGCUGUAAGACAGGCGUGAAAUCCCCGGGCUCAACCUGGGAAUUGCGCUUGUGACUGCAGUGCUGGAGUGCGGCAGAGGGGGAUGGAAUUCCGCGUGUAGCAGUGAAAUGCGUAGAUAUGCGGAGGAACACCGAUGGCGAAGGCAAUCCCCUGGGCCUGCACUGACGCUCAUGCACGAAAGCGUGGGGAGCAAACAGGAUUAGAUACCCUUGUAGUCC